CGAACGCUGGCGGCAGGCUUCAUACAUGCAAGUCGCGCGUGAAAGCUCCUUCGGGAGUAAGUAGAGCGGCGGACGGGUGAGUAACAGGUGGAUAAUCUGCCCUUUGGCGGGGGACAACGGUUGGAAACGACCGCUAAUACCGCGUACGAUCGCUUGGUCACAAGGCCGAGCGAAGAAAGGCGCUUUCAAGCGUCGCCGAAGGAUGGGUCCGCCCCCCAUUAGCUAGUUGGUGAGAUAACAGCUCACCAAGGCAACGAUGGGUAGCCGAGCUGAGAGGUUGAUCGGCCACACUGGGACUGAGAUACGGCCCAGACACCUACGGGUGGCAGCAGUAGGGAAUAUUGCGCAAUGGGCGAAAGCCUGACGCAGCCAUGCCGCGUGGAGGAUGAAGGCCUUCGGGUCGUAAACUCCUUUUCUGAGGGAAGAACAACCGGUGGAGGAAAUGCCACAGGUCUGACGGUACCUCAGGAAUAAGCAACGGCUAACUCC
This 489-nucleotide ribosomal RNA is filed under the name uncultured bacterium. Its description in RNAcentral is "bacterial SSU rRNA". It matches the Rfam family "Bacterial small subunit ribosomal RNA", at positions 30 to 504 of the family's 1533-position model. The record is from RNAcentral.